AUUGAACGCUGGCGGCAUGCCUUACACAUGCAAGUCGAACGGUAACGGGCCUUCGGGUGCCGACGAGUGGCGAACGGGUGAGUAAUACAUCGGAACGUGCCCGAUCGUGGGGGAUAACGAGGCGAAAGCUUUGCUAAUACCGCAUACGAUCUACGGAUGAAAGCAGGGGACCGCAAGGCCUUGCGCGGACGGAGCGGCCGAUGGCAGAUUAGGUAGUUGGUGGGAUAAAAGCUUACCAAGCCGACGAUCUGUAGCUGGUCUGAGAGGAUGAUCAGCCACACUGGGACUGAGACACGGCCCAGACUCCUACGGGAGGCAGCAGUGGGGAAUUUUGGACAAUGGGCGCAAGCCUGAUCCAGCCAUGCCGCGUGCAGGAUGAGGCCUUCGGGUUGUAAACUGCUUUUGUACGGAACGAAAAGCCUUCUUUUAAUACAGGAGGGUCAUGACGGUACCGUAAGAAUAAGCACCGGCUAACUACGUG
Molecule: ribosomal RNA, 481 nt
Filed under: uncultured bacterium
Lineage: Bacteria
Description: partial 16S ribosomal RNA
Rfam family: Bacterial small subunit ribosomal RNA
Source: RNAcentral